This 253-nucleotide ribosomal RNA is filed under the name uncultured bacterium. RNAcentral's name for it is "partial 16S ribosomal RNA". It matches the Rfam family "Bacterial small subunit ribosomal RNA", at positions 524 to 776 of the family's 1533-position model. The record is from RNAcentral.
UACGGGGGGAGCAAACGUUGUUCGGAAUCACUGGGCGUAAAGGGCGUGUAGGCGGCCCGAUAAGUCCGCUGUGAAAGUCCAGGGCUCAACCCUUGGAUGCCGGUGGAUACUGUCGGGCUCGAGUCCGGAAGAGGAGUGUGGAAUUCCUGGUGUAGCGGUGAAAUGCGCAGAUAUCAGGAGGAACACCAAUGGCGAAGGCAGCACUCUGGGACGUGACUGACGCUGAGACGCGAAAGCGUGGGGAGCGAACAGG